AACGAACGCUGGCGGCAUGCCUAACACAUGCAAGUCGAACGAGACCUUCGGGUCUAGUGGCGCACGGGUGCGUAACGCGUGGGAACCUGCCCUUAGGUUCGGAAUAACUCCCCGAAAGGGGUGCUAAUACCGGAUAAUGUCUUCGGACCAAAGAUUUAUCGCAUUUGGAUGGGCCCGCGUUGGAUUAGCUAGUUGGUAGGGUAAAAGACUACCAAGGCGACGAUCCAUAGCUGGUCUGAGAGGAUGGUCAGCCACACUGGGACUGAGACACGGCCCAGACUCCUACGGGAAGCAGCAGUGGGGAAUAUUGGACAACGGGCGAAAGCCUGAUCCAGCAAUGCCGCGUGAGUGAUGAAGGCCUUAGGGUUGUAAAGCUCUUUUACCCGGGAUGAUAAUGACAGUACCGGCAGAAUAAGCUCCGGCUAACUCCGUG
RNAcentral lists this ribosomal RNA (433 nucleotides) under uncultured bacterium. RNAcentral describes it as "partial 16S ribosomal RNA". It matches the Rfam family "Bacterial small subunit ribosomal RNA", at positions 29 to 507 of the family's 1533-position model. The record is from RNAcentral.